Molecule: ribosomal RNA, 465 nt
Filed under: Vreelandella stevensii
Lineage: Bacteria; Pseudomonadati; Pseudomonadota; Gammaproteobacteria; Oceanospirillales; Halomonadaceae
Description: partial 16S ribosomal RNA
Rfam family: Bacterial small subunit ribosomal RNA
Source: RNAcentral
CCUACGGGAGGCAGCAGUGGGGAAUAUUGGACAAUGGGCGAAAGCCUGAUCCAGCCAUGCCGCGUGUGUGAGGAAGGCCUUCGGGUUGUAAAGCACUUUCAGUGGGGAAGAAAGCCUUGGGGCUAAUACCCUCGAGGAAGGACAUCACCCACAGAAGAAGCACCGGCUAACUCCGUGCCAGCAGCCGCGGUAAUACGGAGGGUGCGAGCGUUAAUCGGAAUUACUGGGCGUAAAGCGCGCGUAGGCGGUCUGAUAAGCCGGUUGUGAAAGCCCCGGGCUCAACCUGGGAACGGCAUCCGGAACUGUCAGGCUAGAGUGCAGGAGAGGAAGGUAGAAUUCCCGGUGUAGCGGUGAAAUGCGUAGAGAUCGGGAGGAAUACCAGUGGCGAAGGCGGCCUUCUGGACUGACACUGACGCUGAGGUGCGAAAGCGUGGGUAGCAAACAGGAUUAGAUACCCCUGUAGUC